UUAUGGCACAGUCUGGUUGCCUGAAUUACUUCAGUGUAAAUGAUAUCCGCACUCAAAAUAUACAUGGGCAACAGAAGGCAACUACAAAACUCACAGGACUCAAACUUUCUAGGAUCCACUGGGUCACCGCUCAUCUGAAGGAAAUUGUAGCUGUAACUGCUGGUGAAACUGAAGGGGUGCAGAUAUUACCUCCCCUAGGAGGCUGGUUGGGCAUCUCAUAGAGGCUGUACUUCCAGAGGUCCAGAGAAGGGCCAGGGCCCCGGACUUGAGGAUCAAGGACGGGACCCAAGGAUCCUCCUCUUGGGGAGAUAAGCGUUCUCAACAGUGGUGCUCCAGGUCGGGGCUAAGGACAGAGACUUACAGGCAGGCCUGGGCGAAGCUGUGGAUGGAGGACCGGCUGAGCAGCUGUGUCUGAUAGACCUGUCCGUUUCUCUGGGGGCUGUCAGAGGUGGAGGAAAAGAUGAGCGGGCGACAGUCUCUGCAAAGAACAGAUGUGUCAAAGGUCCGCACCAUUUACAUCAACGAACCCUUUCAGAACACUUUCUGCAACAACUCCAUCAGUGUUAAGACAGAGUACGUGGCAAGUGAUUCUGUGGAAAGAGGUCCAGAAAUUGGUUGAGGCAAGAAUUUUGACACCCUGCUUUUUCUAGCUGCCCAGGAAGGGCCUGUCAUUUUUAAGAGGUAUGUCUUCAGCACGUAGCACAUCGUAAAUGCUCAGAUGGUUUGUCAAAGAAUCAGUACAGGAGAGGAAACCAUCAAGGACUCAAUAACCUUUCGCUGUGUAUUGUUCCUAGGAUUUACAUCUCUCUCUUUCUCCUAUUUGCGUAUUAGAAUUCAUUCAUGAAUUUAUUGAGUGCUUACUAGACAAUGAGCAGCGAGCCCUGGGGGUUCAUCUAAGAGUGAGACAGGCGUUUUCUCCGCCCUACGUGACUCUCACAAACCAGCAGAGGAGGACAGACCAUUAGGCAAGCCGUUACAAUGCGACAGCGUAUGGAGGACGCAUCAACGCAAGUAUAGCAGGAGCAGUAGGUGUCAGCCUUGGCACCGCGCACAUUGCGAGCUGGGUGAUUCCCUGUUUUGUAGGCUGUU
Long non-coding RNA from Eubalaena glacialis (North Atlantic right whale), 1089 nucleotides. RefSeq lists it as uncharacterized. The transcript has 5 exons. The record is from RefSeq and is a predicted model, not a curated record. NCBI's taxonomy places the organism in Eukaryota, Metazoa, Chordata, Mammalia, Artiodactyla, Balaenidae.